This 1477-nucleotide ribosomal RNA is filed under the name Bacillus licheniformis. RNAcentral's name for it is "bacterial SSU rRNA". It matches the Rfam family "Bacterial small subunit ribosomal RNA". Lineage: Bacteria; Bacillati; Bacillota; Bacilli; Caryophanales; Bacillaceae. The record is from RNAcentral.
AGGACGAACGCUGGCGGCGUGCCUAAUACAUGCAAGUCGAGCGGACCGACGGGAGCUUGCUCCCUUAGGUCAGCGGCGGACGGGUGAGUAACACGUGGGUAACCUGCCUGUAAGACUGGGAUAACUCCGGGAAACCGGGGCUAAUACCGGAUGCUUGAUUGAACCGCAUGGUUCCAAUCAUAAAAGGUGGCUUUCAGCUACCACUUACAGAUGGACCCGCGGCGCAUUAGCUAGUUGGUGAGGUAACGGCUCACCAAGGCGACGAUGCGUAGCCGACCUGAGAGGGUGAUCGGCCACACUGGGACUGAGACACGGCCCAGACUCCUACGGGAGGCAGCAGUAGGGAAUCUUCCGCAAUGGACGAAAGUCUGACGGAGCAACGCCGCGUGAGUGAUGAAGGUUUUCGGAUCGUAAAACUCUGUUGUUAGGGAAGAACAAGUACCGUUCGAAUAGGGCGGUACCUUGACGGUACCUAACCAGAAAGCCACGGCUAACUACGUGCCAGCAGCCGCGGUAAUACGUAGGUGGCAAGCGUUGUCCGGAAUUAUUGGGCGUAAAGCGCGCGCAGGCGGUUUCUUAAGUCUGAUGUGAAAGCCCCCGGCUCAACCGGGGAGGGUCAUUGGAAACUGGGGAACUUGAGUGCAGAAGAGGAGAGUGGAAUUCCACGUGUAGCGGUGAAAUGCGUAGAGAUGUGGAGGAACACCAGUGGCGAAGGCGACUCUCUGGUCUGUAACUGACGCUGAGGCGCGAAAGCGUGGGGAGCGAACAGGAUUAGAUACCCUGGUAGUCCACGCCGUAAACGAUGAGUGCUAAGUGUUAGAGGGUUUCCGCCCUUUAGUGCUGCAGCAAACGCAUUAAGCACUCCGCCUGGGGAGUACGGUCGCAAGACUGAAACUCAAAGGAAUUGACGGGGGCCCGCACAAGCGGUGGAGCAUGUGCUUUAAUUCGAAGCAACGCGAAGAACCUUACCAGGUCUUGACAUCCUCUGACAACCCUAGAGAUAGGGCUUCCCCUUCGGGGGCAGAGUGACAGGUGGUGCAUGGUUGUCGUCAGCUCGUGUCGUGAGAUGUUGGGUUAAGUCCCGCAACGAGCGCAACCCUUGAUCUUAGUUGCCAGCAUUCAGUUGGGCACUCUAAGGUGACUGCCGGUGACAAACCGGAGGAAGGUGGGGAUGACGUCAAAUCAUCAUGCCCCUUAUGACCUGGGCUACACACGUGCUACAAUGGGCAGAACAAAGGGCAGCGAAGCCGCGAGGCUAAGCCAAUCCCACAAAUCUGUUCUCAGUUCGGAUCGCAGUCUGCAACUCGACUGCGUGAAGCUGGAAUCGCUAGUAAUCGCGGAUCAGCAUGCCGCGGUGAAUACGUUCCCGGGCCUUGUACACACCGCCCGUCACACCACGAGAGUUUGUAACACCCGAAGUCGGUGAGGUAACCUUUUGGAGCCAGCCGCCGAAGGUGGGACAGAUGAUUGGGGUGAA